RNAcentral lists this ribosomal RNA (505 nucleotides) under uncultured bacterium. RNAcentral describes it as "partial 16S ribosomal RNA". It matches the Rfam family "Bacterial small subunit ribosomal RNA", at positions 28 to 507 of the family's 1533-position model. The record is from RNAcentral.
GACGAACGCUGGCGGCGUGCCUAAUACAUGCAAGUAGAACGCACAGAUUAUGCCGUUGCUUGCUACACCAUAGCCUGUGAGGUGCGAACGACAGGUGAACGAGUAGGUAAUCUGCCUGGUAGCGGGGGGUGACUCUGGGACACGUACGGUAAUACAGCUUAAUCUUCAUUAUUGCAUGGUAAAUGAUUGUAUUGUUGAAUCGCACCAAUACCUGAUGGACCUGCGUUGUAUUAGGUAGUAGGAGAGGUAACGGCGCACCUAGGCGACGGCAGAUAGCCGACCUGGGAGGGGGGUCGGCCACACUGGGACCGGGACACGGCUCCGGCUCCUACGGGAGGCAGCAGUAGGGAAUCUUCGGCAAUGGAGGGAAGUCUUACCGAGCAACGCCGGGUGAGUGGAGAAGGUUUUCGGAUCGUAAAGCUCUGUUGUACGAGAAGAACGGGUGUGGGAGUGGAAAGUGCACACUGUGACGGUAUCUUACCAGAAAGGGACGGCUAACUACGUG